RNAcentral lists this ribosomal RNA (503 nucleotides) under uncultured bacterium. RNAcentral's name for it is "partial 16S ribosomal RNA". It matches the Rfam family "Bacterial small subunit ribosomal RNA", at positions 30 to 523 of the family's 1533-position model. The record is from RNAcentral.
AUUGAACGCUGGCGGCAGGCUUAACACAUGCAAGUCGAGCGGGGUGAUGGUGCUUGCACUAUCACUUAGCGGCGGACGGGUGAGUAAUGCUUAGGAACCUGCCUAUUAGUGGGGGACAACAUCUCGAAAGGGAUGCUAAUACCGCAUACGUCCUACGGGAGAAAGCAGGGGAUCACUUGUGACCUUGCGCUAAUAGAUGAGCCAAAGUCGGAGUAGCUAGUUGGUGGGGUAAAGGCCUACCAAGGCGACGAGCUGUAGCGGGUGUGAGAGGAUGAUCCGCCACACUGGGACUGAGACACGGCCCAGACUCCUACGGGAGGCAGCAGUGGGGAAUAUUGGACAAUGGGGGGAACCCUGAUCCAGCCAUGCCGCGUGUGUGAAGAAGGCCUUAUGGUUGUAAAGCACUUUAAGCGAGGAGGAGGCUCUUUUGGUUAAUACCCAAGAUGAGUGGACGUUACUCGCAGAAUAAGCACCGGCUAACUCUGUGCCAGCAGCCGCGGUAA